UACGUAGGGACCAAGCGUUGUUCGGAUUUACUGGGCGUAAAGGGCGCGUAGGCGGCAAUUCAAGUCAUCUGUGAAAUCUCCGGGCUUAACCCGGAACGGUCAGAUGAUACUGCUUUGCUAGAGUGCAGAAGGGGCAAUCGGAAUUCUUGGUGUAGCGGUGAAAUGCGUAGAUAUCAAGAGGAACACCUGAGGUGAAGACGGGUUGCUGGGCUGACACUGACGCUGAGGUGCGAAAGCGUGGGGAGCAAACAGG
RNAcentral lists this ribosomal RNA (253 nucleotides) under uncultured bacterium. RNAcentral's name for it is "partial 16S ribosomal RNA". It matches the Rfam family "Bacterial small subunit ribosomal RNA", at positions 524 to 776 of the family's 1533-position model. The record is from RNAcentral.